AUCUAAUCGCCUUUUUGCACACAUUAUUGGCUUCCUUAUAUCUUUUAUAGGAUGCAUCUGAUUUGUCCGAUUUAAAUGCCCUUUUCUUAUUUUGAACCUCUUGUAUUACUUCUCUACUAAGCCACAUUGGUUUCAAUUUGUUUCUUUUAUAUUUAUUACCCAAUGGUACAUACUUAGAAAUGUACCUUUCUAAUAUUUGUUGGAAGAUGUUCC
Molecule: non-coding RNA, 213 nt
Organism: Pelobates cultripes (western spadefoot toad)
Lineage: Eukaryota; Metazoa; Chordata; Amphibia; Anura; Pelobatidae
Source: the annotation of a GenBank genome assembly